This 6168-nucleotide long non-coding RNA is filed under the name Ananas comosus (pineapple). Its description in RNAcentral is "long non-coding RNA (ACOM_LNC034076)". Lineage: Eukaryota; Viridiplantae; Streptophyta; Magnoliopsida; Poales; Bromeliaceae. The record is from RNAcentral.
UGCUCGCUAGCACGAUCCAACUGUCUAUUCCACAAUAGACAAUAUAUUCUCUUCCUCCCUGCAUGCUAGGGUCAAAUCCAAGUUUCUAUUUCAUUCCUCUCGAAGUAAGAGGUCAACCAACAGACCUUUCCGAAUUCUAGGAUAACGACUACAACUCCCUUCCAAGUGUCACUUAACAUUCGAUUAACCACUUAAGCUCAAUAUCAGUCGCUUAUCGUUCAUUCUUCACUAAUCAAUUCGCGCAUCUUCCGCCCAAAUAUCACUUAACUUCGACCAUAAGAUUCAAUUUGAAGUCCAUAGCUUAGGACUGCGUAUAACUUUGACACAUUUUCUGUCGAAGUUUCCUUAUUUCAUAAUCGGCCUUGUUUCCAAUAUCUCUUACACUGGUGUACUAAUCAUAGCUUAGCAUAUAGAAAAUCUUUCUACCUACUUUUCCAUCAAAUAUAGGCGGAUUAAACCACAUAAACGCCGUCAGUCCUACUAACGAUUGCUUGUGCUCAGCCCUUGUUGCAGUCGAAUCAGAAUCAGACGGCCCAGAAACCACUGGAGGGAUAAUCACUGAAAAAGGGGGGGCACAAUCGCUGGCGGAUCAGGUAUAGGUGCAUCCUGACUCCCAGAUACUGGUGUUGUCGCCCGUUGCGACACUAGAUCCUAUAACCUCAUUAUGUUCUCUUCCUGCCUCUGCAUAGCUCCAGCUCCAAUGCGCUCACCGGAGCACGUAGCUCCAGAACUUCGCUAGAUCCAGUCUGCUCUGGCAUCCUAGAAGGUGAUGCCGGAGUGGAUCUCGUCGCACGUCGCGACAUUUCUCUUGAAAUGAACCCUUUACACUAGUAAAACAAUACCAAUCAGGCGAAAGCAAUCAAGUAUAUUUAUACUCAACUCUUAGCUUUAUGUUGUGGGCCCCCAACAUAACUCCUUAGUUGUAUAUAAAUAACACUUGGAUCAGCCCCUAAUUAACAUUAGAGACUUACUAACAACUAACCAAAUUUAUUUAGCUUUCGCUAUCAUUAGAUUCGCGCCACUCGCGUUCCUGGUUCCUAGGUUUCCAUUCCUAAGUCCCCUAGGUCAUCCUAGACUUUCACUAUCACUUGCUCUGAUACCACUCUAUCUGUCACGUCCCGAGCCUCGCCUAUUUGGUCGAUCCGGGCCCGUACACAGACGCCGAACGAACAGUACCUCCUCUGUUCGCCCAAGGCUCAACAACAACGGAUACAUGUAUAAAGAAAUUAAACAAUUCCCAGGAUCACAUUUCAAUAUACAUGGCUUGCACGAUGGCAAGCAACAACACAAGUGAUAGUACGUCUAACUAAACAUAUAAUCCACUGUAAUUUAAAACUUUACAUAACUGAAACAUUUAGUUAUUACAUGCUUUAUAUACAAUCAUUUACAUGUCUCUGUACAUCGAAAUAGAUAAUACAUGAACCCAAAAUGGUAUACCACUAGUACUCGGGUGUCCACUAGCUAGGCUGCUGGCUCUUGCCUCGAUCCUCGGCCACAAUACUCGUACUGGAACCUGUAUGGUUAGUGGUGUGUGAGAACUACAAGAAAGUUCCCAGUGGGUUCGGCUGCCGACUUCGCCGACUCACCCACUAGGUCUAUUCAGGCAUAUGUAGGCAAGAAAAGUAAGCAAAUAGUAACCAACUAUAACAUGUAACUACUACAAUGCCUGUACAAAGCUGAAAGAAGUAACAGAUAUGAAAACUGUAAAUAUGCAUGCAUGCUUUUCAUUAACUUUACCUAAUCUUUUGAUUAACCCUCUGGUUAACAGCUGGACAAGUACGUUAGUCCAUAAAUUUACCCAAUUCAGUGGUUAACCCUUUGGUUAACAAUAACUCACCAACGAAAUCCCUCACGGGCCCUAAGCUGCCUCCCGAUGGGACCGUCUGUCGGACAAGUACGUUAGUCCUGGGGCUAGUACGUUAGCCCAACAAGUGACUACUCCGGAGCUCACUGCCUGGGGGGAGCGACCACCACCAAGCUAAGAAAACAGACUAUGUGAGUAAGAUCUGAUCCCCUUUUAGAGGAUUCAACUGACAACAAUGUCACAAUUUAACUCUAACUAGUUCUUUAUACUAGUUUCAUAAUUGCAUUUCUCGAUGCUAACCAAAUCUCUAAUCAUGAUGUCACCAAGUUUACUAUUGUCUUAGUCCUUUACAGUUUCAUAAUUUCACUGUUUAUCUCACAAUGCUAUCCAAUUCUCUAGUUAGAAUGUCACCAAGUUUACUAUUGUCAAAGUCCAUGCAUUCAUAGGGUUCUAUGUCCACAAUCUAAGGUUCACAAAUUCUCAUUGUUGAUAGGAAUUCACAUUUUCACUCGCUCAAUGCCAAACACCCUAUAAUGCGUGACUACAAAUAUAAAUAUGCUCAACGAAGAAUUAUAGACAUAAAAGGUGAUUCAAAGAGUUCGGAUAGCACCACCCACCUGUAGUGGUGUCAAUCAACUAAAAUCCACGUCUCGGAAAGCGUCGAGACUAUCUCUCGCGACUCCAUGCAAUUAGGACUAGAACGGCCGCUACCGUAAUUAGCGCGUCGUCGACCUGUCGGAAAGUCAAAUUAGACUCUUGGGCACGUUUACUUUUCACUUAUAAAGGAUUAGAAAAGAUUAAACUAGAGUCAAUACUCAUAUUUUACAAAUUAGCAUUUCAAUGCUAUAUAAAACGGCAACUAUAGCCGAAAAACUUCUUUUGGCGAUAUCUUUGCGUAGGUUCGUCGGAUUGCCGAACCGACUUCGCCAACGCGUUUCUUUUACCCUCAAUUUGGUUUACACGCGGUCAAUUUCGCAUUAGGACUCUUAUUUUGCAAAAGUGCAUUGCCGGGGUCAGUUUUCAUUUAAACCCCGUUUUUAUAGAAACCCUAACUUAUUUUGCAUCUUUUCAUUUUCUUUCUUUCAUUUUUUCUUCUUAUUCUUUCUUUCUUUUCUUUUCUUACUUUCUUUCUUUCUUUCUUUCUUUUCUUUCUUUCUUUCCUCACUUUCUUUCUUUCUUUCCUUUUCUUUCCCUGCAGGCUGCAGCUGCUGCUGCUGUUGAAGCUUCUCUGCUGAAGCUGCUGCUGCUGCGGACUGCUCAGCAGCUAGCUGAGCUGCUGCUGCUGAAGCCCUGCUGCUGCUGCUGUUCUUGCUAAGCUGCUGCUCAGCAGCUUGCGCAAGCUGCUGCUGCUGCUAAAGCUCUGCGCAAGGCUGCUGAGGCUGCUGCUGCUAACUGCCGAGCUGCUGCUGCUGAUUCUACUACUGCUGCUGCUGAAGCCCCUGCUGACAGCAGCUACCACUGCUGACUGCCAAGCUGCUGCUGCUAUUACUUGCUCAGCCUCUAGGCUGAGCUGCAGCUGCUGCUGCUGAUUGCUUGCUGCUGCUGACAGCAGCAGAGAAAAGGGAGUGAGGGGGGGAAAGAAAACAGAGCAAAGAGAGGAAAAGAAAUAGAAAUCUUUACCUUUCUUUCUUCUUUGUCUUUCUUCUUCUUCUUCUCUUUUCUCUUCUCUUCUUUGCUCCUUCUUUUCUCCUUCUCUCUCUCUGGACGUAGGCAGCAAGAAUGAAGAGGGAGGGGAUAAGGAUGGAGCUCCCUGGCAGGGGACUUAGUGGAAUUCCACUAACUUGGUGAUAAUUACCAUAAUGCCCCUCGACUAAUCCGUUUAGCGACACGGAUCAACUACCUUUCGCAGGCCCUUCCGAAAGUCCGAUUGAGCUCAAAUUUGGCAGGAAUGUUCGUUUUUACUUAACAAGUCCACUGAAAUUUUAACAUUUCAGUUUCGACCCCGUUUGGUCACUGCGAACUGUCCCGAACUGUAAUCUUUAUCAGAUAACUUCCAGAUGCUAUUUCUCUCUCUACAGGUGUCAGAAAAAUCUGAAACUUCAAAACUAACCUUAUAAUAAUGUUCCUGACAUCUCUGCCAAUUUUCGUAAUUUUCUGACACUGUGCAUUUUCUGCUAAUUUUCUCAGUCCCGUUCUUUACAGAAAAUUUCAAAUCUUCUGUUUUUGCUCCGAUUUUAACACGAACACUUCCAAAACAUGCCAAGGGACUUUCACAAGCUACCAAUUCAAUUUGGAAGGCAUUCCUUUUCAUUUUGACAUCAUAUGGUUCAUUUCGACCAAAUCGACUACAUAAUUCAGCAUUCGAGUUACAAUGGCAAUUGGAGUUCUUUUGUCACUUCGUUUCCACUUGUAUCUAUUCCCACACUUCCAAAGUGUGCCAAUGACUGAUCUCAAGCUUCUAAUUCAGUUUAGAAGUCUCUAAUUUCCAUUUUAGCAUUAUUGUGCCCACUUUGAUCACAAUUAGCUUCUAAUCAAGUUUCAGUCUAUUACAAUCUCCCCUCCUUAAAAUAGUUUCGUCCUCGAAACUCGAUUUCAUACUUCAAUUCUCCUGGUCAAAUAGAUGAGGGAAGAGAUUCCAUCACUCGCAAUUUCCACUUCUCAACGAAGGGUUCAUUCUAACAGCUCCACACUUAAAUGAUCUGACGGCAUAAUCCGCCAACAUUUCCCGUGGCUACUCAUUACUCAAGUGUCUCCUAGAGACCACUUUACUUUCUCUUUAUCCUUGGAUGCUACAAGCCACCAUCAAUGUCCAUUCGUCUUGCAACGAAUUUAUACGAACCCGCCAUUCAUGGUUCAGGCCAAAACAAACUAACAGAGUUGUCGGUCACACCGACCAUCGGUUCCCACAGGUGGACCAGGGGCCACCAACCCUACGUAGGCCUACAGCCGAAACCGAUCUCGACGACGCCUAGCGUCUCUCGCUCGCAAGCGCAAACCCAAUUAUCACGUAGCAAAGUUCUCAUUUGAGACAUCGCAUACCUGCUCCAACUGGGAGCAACCGAGACCCUAAACCACGCCAAAUUCUCGGGUUGGGUCGCUACACACCCUGUGUGUCCUCGAUCUCACGAUCUAACACGUGGCAUUCCACGUACUCGGGUCUAUGCUCGGACUACCGUCCUGACCAAAACUCUCUGCCCUACCCGUAGGUACCGGGACGCUGCCUCUCGCAGCUGACUGCGCCUGCCCAAUGGGCCCAGGCUCCACAGUCCAAAAAGGGUCCAGGCACGGCUCGUCCCCAAGCACUACCCGCCAACGUCGUUUCACACGAAAUGCUCUACAGAGCUACAAGUAUAACUAUCGGCUCCUAAGCACCUAGUGCGAGCCACCAGCCCCGCGAGUGAUCCAUGGCACGCUUCACACUUAGCAACGCUCAGGUGCUACUGCCAACACACUCUCCUGGCUGAAUCAGAAUCCACAUUCUACGGACAGCUAUACUCAAGCGUCCUACACUAUCGCGUCUCUUGCCAGACAUCUCACGCUAGGCAAUUCAGCCUAUGUCUCAAUUACGCAACCACAAUUCCUCAACUUAUUUAAGGUACAACUCAACUAACUCGCCAAAACCAGGCGAUCAUCUAACCACGCCACAACAGUGACGCCCUUACCACUACACAAUCCAUCGGAAAUACCAUCUGGAUUUUCGAACUCUAGAAACGUCUUCUAACGUUUCUACUUUAAUUCUCAUUACCACCCGAAUGGUUUAGAGAAUAGGUCCACCAUGUCCAUCUUCAUCUCGAGCCCCAACAUUGGCUCACUGUGACUGCUCGCUAGCACGAUCCAACUGUCUAUUCCACAAUAGACAAUAUAUUCUCUUCAUCCCUGCAUGCUAGGGUCAAAUCCAAAUUUCUAUCACACUCUUGCAUGUACCGCUCGGAGUUCGUAUCGUUUCCAAGUAUACAAUCUUCUUACUGAAGGCAAAUUACCAUCACUUCACUUAUCCAAUACUACACGCGGCCUUGCCGUGUGAAAGUCACCACAAUCAUUCCUCUCGAAGUAAAAGGUCAACCAACAGACCUUUCCGAAUUCUAGGAUAACGACUACAACUCCCUUCCGGGUGUCACUUAACACUCGAUUAACCACUUAAGCUCAAUAUCAGUCGCUUAUCCUUCAUUCUUCACUAAUCAAUUCGCGCAUCUUCCGCACAAAUAUCACUUAACUUCGACCAUAAGAUUCAAUUUGAUACUUCCUCAGAAGUUCAUAGCUUAGGACUGCGUAUAACUUUGACACAUUUUCUGUCGAAGUUUCCUUAUUUCAUAAUCGGCCUUGUUUCCAAUAUCCAAAGAUCUGCCUCUUUUCCACCAAAUAUAGGCGGAUUAAACCGCAUAAACGCCGUCAGUCCUACUAACGAUUGCUUGUGCUCGGCCCUU